AUUGAACGCUGGCGGCAGGCCUAACACAUGCAAGUCGAGCGGUAGAGAGAAGCUCGCUUCUCUUGAGAGCGGCGGACGGGUGAGUAAUGCCUAGGAAUCUGCCUGGUAGUGGGGGAUAACGUUCGGAAACGGACGCUAAUACCGCAUACGUCCUACGGGAGAAAGCAGGGGACCUUCGGGCCUUGCGCUAUCAGAUGAGCCUAGGUCGGAUUAGCUAGUUGGUGGGGUAAUGGCUCACCAAGGCGACGAUCCGUAACUGGUCUGAGAGGAUGAUCAGUCACACUGGAACUGAGACACGGUCCAGACUCCUACGGGAGGCAGCAGUGGGGAAUAUUGGACAAUGGGCGAAAGCCUGAUCCAGCCAUGCCGCGUGUGUGAAGAAGGUCUUCGGAUUGUAAAGCACUUUAAGUUGGGAGGAAGGGCAGUAAAUUAAUACUUUGCUGUUUUGACGUUACCGACAGAAUAAGCACCGGCUAACUCUGUG
This 484-nucleotide ribosomal RNA is filed under the name uncultured bacterium. Its description in RNAcentral is "partial 16S ribosomal RNA". It matches the Rfam family "Bacterial small subunit ribosomal RNA", at positions 30 to 507 of the family's 1533-position model. The record is from RNAcentral.